GACAGAGGUUGCAAACGUUGUUCGGAAUUACUGGGCGUAAAGCGCGCGUAGGCGGCUUUUCAAGUCGAUUGUGAAAUCCCCGGGCUUAACCUGGGAACUGCAGCCGAGACUGUCUAGCUAGAGUAUGGGAGAGGGAAGUGGAAUUUCAGGUGUAGCGGUGAAAUGCGUAGAUAUCUGAAGGAACAUCAGUGGCGAAAGCGGCUCACUGGCCCGGUACUGACGCUGAGGUGCGAAAGCGUGGGGAGCAAACAGG
This 253-nucleotide ribosomal RNA is filed under the name uncultured bacterium. RNAcentral's name for it is "partial 16S ribosomal RNA". It matches the Rfam family "Bacterial small subunit ribosomal RNA", at positions 524 to 776 of the family's 1533-position model. The record is from RNAcentral.